ACUACAAGGCCAGGAUCGAAAAAGUGAGGAUCUACAAAGGACCUGCGAGAGACAUCAGACUUACCCGGGAACAAUACUUGCGGGUAAAGAUUCAAUCUUAAGGAGUUAUCAACUAUGCUCCAUUUGUUCUUCUUAAAUGUAUUAGAUAUUGAUGAUGUGCAGGUGCCUCCGUGGUGGAUUGCCAAUGAUUAUCCAUACUGGGAAAUGAUAGUGGACCGGUGGUGCUCGCAAGAGUGGGUGGAGAUGCACGAGGCUGCCCGGCAGUGGCGUUUGCUGAUGCCAGGUGCAUCGCACCAUCAGGGCAACCGUAACCUCAAGGCGUACGCGACUAGAUAUGUAUGUGAAUUAAUUUCUUUAUUCUAACGCUCAAUUCUGCAUAAUUUCUAAUCAUCUUCCUUUUUUCGCAGUCGUCGUCACAUGGUGGUGUGCCUUGCACCCAAGUCCAGGCAUACUGUUUGGCCCACAAAGGAAAGGCGAUGUCCGAUGUCACCUUCAACCCACAGGAUCCGCCCGAAGUGUACAGCAACGCAAGCGUCCACAACCGCCUCAGUGGGUACACCUCGAUGGCACAAGAAGUUCAUGGGCCGGAGUUUGAUGCGAUCAAUGAGCCCAUUGAUGGAGAAGUCGUCAUGAGGGCGGGAGGAGGCAAGAAGCAUGGACGGUACUAGUUUGGCGACAGCUUAGUCGACACGGCGACUACUCCCACUCUCUCGCAGAUUCGAGCCAGGAGUACCAGCUCAAGCCCUGCCAUACGCCCACGGCCAGACACUACACAGACUCAGAUUGAGGCUGUCAAUGCCCAGAUGGAAGCAGCCUUCCAAGCACGGCAGGAGGCGGCAGAGGAGAGGUGGAGGGCCGAGCGGGACGACAUGCAGCAAAAAUUGGAUCAAGCUCUAACAUUUAUGCAAAGCCUGGGCUCGGCGAUGGGUGUUUCGCCUCCACAAUUCCCUCCGGCCCCACUUGUUCGUCGUGCAGAAACUCCUCCUACCAAUCAGUCGGCGACAUCCAAUGAUGGGCCAGUAAAUCCUGACUUCUCGCCUCCGGUGCAGCAGACUCAGCAGCCUCAGCAGUUUGUGUGGCCACCGCCUCAAUGGGUGGCUUGGAUUCAGCAGCAGCAG
Molecule: RNA transcript, 1118 nt
Organism: Panicum virgatum (switchgrass)
Lineage: Eukaryota; Viridiplantae; Streptophyta; Magnoliopsida; Poales; Poaceae
Exons: 3
Source: RefSeq, a predicted model, not a curated record